This 566-nucleotide ribosomal RNA is filed under the name uncultured Sphingomonas sp. RNAcentral's name for it is "bacterial SSU rRNA". It matches the Rfam family "Bacterial small subunit ribosomal RNA", at positions 1002 to 1533 of the family's 1533-position model. The record is from RNAcentral. Lineage: Bacteria; Pseudomonadati; Pseudomonadota; Alphaproteobacteria; Sphingomonadales; Sphingomonadaceae.
AGAGAUGGAUUUCUUCAGUUCGGCUGGAUGAGUGACAGGUGCUGCAUGGCUGUCGUCAGCUCGUGUCGUGAGAUGUUGGGUUAAGUCCCGCAACGAGCGCAACCCUCGCCUUUAGUUGCCAUCAUUUAGUUGGGUACUCUAAAGGAACCGCCGGUGAUAAGCCGGAGGAAGGUGGGGAUGACGUCAAGUCCUCAUGGCCCUUACGCGUUGGGCUACACACGUGCUACAAUGGCGACUACAGUGGGCAGCGACCAUGCGAGUGGAAGCUAAUCUCCAAAAGUCGUCUCAGUUCGGAUUGUUCUCUGCAACUCGAGAGCAUGAAGGCGGAAUCGCUAGUAAUCGCGGAUCAGCAUGCCGCGGUGAAUACGUUCCCAGGCCUUGUACACACCGCCCGUCACACCAUGGGAGUUGGUUUCACCCGAAGGCAGUGCGCUAACCGCAAGGAGGCAGCUGACCACGGUGGGAUCAGCGACUGGGGUGAAGUCGUAACAAGGUAGCCGUAGGGGAACCUGCGGCUGGAUCACCUCUUUAAGGUAAAUCCCGGGAAUCGAAUCCUUUGUGUGCAU